UACUUUAUUAUGAGUAGGUUUUCCGUACUUAAUCAAAUGUUCCAUUUAGUAUAGCUGUAUUUUCAUUCUCUCUUACCAGGGUUAAUUCAAGUUUCAAUUGAAAAAUUGGAUCUAGGUGAUUGAGUUCAUUCACUUUUGAGCUUCUUAUAAGUGGAUUUGAUUUUAUAGAUUUGCUGAUCCUGAAAGUUUUCGUGCGGUGUGG
RNAcentral lists this long non-coding RNA (202 nucleotides) under Olea europaea (common olive). RNAcentral's name for it is "long non-coding RNA (OEUR_LNC003971)". Lineage: Eukaryota; Viridiplantae; Streptophyta; Magnoliopsida; Lamiales; Oleaceae. The record is from RNAcentral.